RNAcentral lists this non-coding RNA (43 nucleotides) under Schistosoma haematobium. Lineage: Eukaryota; Metazoa; Platyhelminthes; Trematoda; Strigeidida; Schistosomatidae. The record is from RNAcentral.
AUCCAUCUGACGAGUCCCAAAUAGGACGACACACAUCCUGGAU